AUGGCGUCGAGCACCGGGCUGACAGCUCCGAGCUCACCGGUUGGGACAAAUACUGCUCCUCCACCGGCGACCACCAUGGAGCCCAAUAUGGACGCCGGGCUGCUAGCAUUGGCUUCCUCCGGAUCUUUCCACGAUCUGGAAUCAUUCCUCGACGGGAAACCAGCCGCCUACACCAUGGGAAGCUCGGCCACGCAGCCACCUGAUCUGUACGCCGUUACCGUUGGAGGUAACACUCUUCUCCAUGUGGUGGCCGCCAGCCAUGGCGACUCUGAGGACUUACUGGAUAAAGCCAGACUUGUCUACAGCAAGGCGCACAGCCUCCUCUUCGUGCAAAACAACGAGGGAGAUACGCCCCUGCAUUGUGCUGCACGGGCGUGGAAUAUCCCAAUGAUGUCUCUUCUCAUUGAUCUUGCCAAUGGCCAGGGUAUUAACAACGCUAAGGGGCUGCUGGAAACACAGAACAAGCUCAAAGAGACAGCCUUGCACGAGGCCGUCCGCUUUGGGAGCAAUGAUAUGGUCAAUUUGCUCAUGGCCCGUGAUCCAGAAUUGGCCACUCUUCCUGAGGAAGGUACUUCACCAUUGUACAUCGCCAUCUUACUGGAAAAUGGAAUCAUCGCAAAAACACUCUACGAGUUGAGCGGUGGGGUUCUUUCAUACUCUGGACCAAAUGGACGAAAUGCAUUGCAUGUUGCUGUUCAGCGGAGCCAAGGUACCGACUUUAACCUGAAUUUCACCUACCAUUAUUAG
RNAcentral lists this ribosomal RNA (747 nucleotides) under Triticum aestivum (bread wheat). Its description in RNAcentral is "partial small subunit ribosomal RNA". The record is from RNAcentral. Lineage: Eukaryota; Viridiplantae; Streptophyta; Magnoliopsida; Poales; Poaceae.